This 13472-nucleotide long non-coding RNA is filed under the name Phaseolus vulgaris (common bean). Its description in RNAcentral is "long non-coding RNA (PVUL_LNC004094)". The record is from RNAcentral. Lineage: Eukaryota; Viridiplantae; Streptophyta; Magnoliopsida; Fabales; Fabaceae.
GUGGAUGGAGAUACAGUUAAAGUUUAGGUUUUAUUAUCUUUGCAUUUAUUAUGCUGAUAAAAAAAAUCUUUGCAUUCAUUAUUUUCUUUGCUCCUAUUCUUUUUGCUACUCUUGUGGAGUGGGAGUUUUUGUAAUUGGGCCUUUGACUUUGAUGAUCUGAUUAUCUUCUUCUACUUGUGUUGCAAUGAACACUUACCAUGGAUGUUUGUUGGACAUAUUGUGAAGCUUCAGGUUUUAUUACUUUUCCACUCACUAUUUUUCUUAUGUGCUCGAUUUGGAAUGUGUACAGUUUCUCUUAUUUGUUGGAUAGUUGGAAGGUAUUUCAUUGUAUUGUAUGUAUCUAAGCAAGAGCAAUACUUCUAGGUCCUCCAUCAUCUAACCAUAUUGAUUAUAGUUUUCUUGAAUUCAUUGGCCUAAAAGGAAAGCUAAGCAAUGAAGUUUGGUGUAGGAUGUAAAAAUGGUUGGUGGAAAUUCUGUGAUCAGUGAAGCUAAAUGUUUCUCUCAUUAGGACAUUGUUGUGUUUAACUGAAUUAAUUUUUAACUGGCUAAACUUGUUGGUUUGAUUAUAAUCUUGGUUGUAUUUUGAUGGUGUAUGGUUCUAAGAGGCAUUGUGGGAUUAGCAUGAGACAAGUGUGGUUGGGCUUUACUCUUUUAUUUGAUGGUUUGCUUCUUGGUUUGGAAAGUUCUACUAUUUAAUUUUGAUGACUUCUCUGCAUAAUUCUAUAAUAUAGGUCUGUUGUUCUUUUAAUAGUUUUCCAAAACCUUUUGAUUCAUUAUUCUUGAUCCCAAACAUAGAAUUUUUGCAUGUAAUCUCGUGUGAUCCUAGACAACAAUGUCUCUUACUAUGAUGACGGACAUCAAUGUCUCUUACGCUGAAAUUUUUGAAAUUAGUAUAAGAAUGAUCCUGAAAUUGAAAUUGUUUAAAUGCUUCACUUUUGUUUCAACAAUCUCAUGUGUUUCUCGUUCCUUGAGUUUUGAAAUUUGCAUUUAUUUGUUUGCAACACAUUGAGUCUUUAUUUGAGGUUUCUCUUUCAGUUCAUUAACUCAGCAAGUGAUGGAAUAUAGUGGGACGACUAACAUGUUUAAUCAACCAGUUAUAGAUUUUUUUCUUUUUUUCCUUUAUUGUUUAUUGAGUUGAGUGCUUUGAAAAUAUUUCUGUAACCAAUUGGGAUUGAAAGUCCAGCGUUAUGCCUGGCAUUAGAUAAUUGGACUUCUUUUAUUAGUUAUCCAAACCGUUCAUUUUUUUCAUAUUUGUUCUAUUUGGACAGGAAUUGUAUGCGAGAGAGAUAAUGAAGUUUUGGAGGUGAAUUUGUUAAUUUCAGUUACGACUAUGGAGGAAUUGUAUUUUGGAGGUGAAUUUGUGAAUUUGUAUGAGACAACUUUGUUUCUCUGAAAUUUAGAGAGCCUCUUUAAUAUUGCAUGGUAGUUUUUUUAUACGAUAUACAAGUAUAUCCAGUUUUAUUUGGAUAUUUUUUAGCAACAAUGCUUUUGGAAUAGGAUUUGUUUGAGCGCUACCAUGAGAAAGUUCAACUUGAAACGACAACAACUCAUAAUAGCCUAAUUCCUUCUAUAUGAGGUUUCACCUUUUAUUUAACUUCUAAGGACUUGAUUACCAACAUUAGGAUUGAAUUGUGAUUUGUUUUUCUACAGUGGUUUAUGAUUGUCUUCAAACAAUGUUUGGAUCUCAUCGAGCCAGUUGGUUUCUGAGUUAAGAAUUUUUCUAAUAUUUUCUAAAAUUCCUCCCCUGAAACAAGUGUUUUUAGUUUUCUUGAAUUUUUGCUCUUUACAGAUAAGACAAGCAAUGGAUGUGUGACGACAUGUAGAAACAUGGGGAUCAAUUAAAGCCUUAGUUUGUCUUAAUUGGUGACUAGUUAUUUGAAUGCAGUUUUAUAUGUGGUGACAAUGAUCUAUCAAAAUAAAAAAAUUGGUUUAGGAUUUCCUCUCUAUUUGAUAUUUUCAGAUUUGAUCACCAAAUAUAAGGAUUUUCUGUUGCCAUUUGUUUCUCUGCAGUGAUGUUUGCAUUAUGGCUUUACAAGUCUUUCAGAGGAUCAGUAGUUUCAGAGGUGAAUUGUGUGUUGCAGUGUAAAUUGUUCAAGUUUAUUUAUUUGCAAAAGGGAUCAAUUCUCCAUUCAUUUUUGCAGAAGAUUAGAUGGCUAACAUUAUUGUUCGUUCAUUUGAUCCAGUAAGAGCUCAUUCUAGAAAUGUGGACUUCUCUUUAAAAGCCUUUGGUAUUUUAACUAUCUUCAAAAGAUAUUUUUUCUGGAUCUAUUGUUUUGACAGAGCAGGUCUUCGAGGAAGACACGAGUGUUGUUGAUUUUUAGAUUUGGAAUUGUUCAAGUACCAACAACAUGAUUUCAUGAUCUCUUAUGAUUUCCCCUGAAUUCUUGGUUGUUGUUUUGCCAGGGUAGGGUCUGGGUAGAUUUGGGUUUUUGGAUUCGGAAUUGUCCAACUACCAACAAUGUGUGUACAGGUUUGAAAUAGAUGAUGUGUUUGUCAGAUAUUUUCUAGGGAUAUAUAUAUAUAUAUAUAUAUAUAUAUAUAUAUAUUUAGUUGCUAGUUUUAUUUUUCAUUCAAUUACUUAAUUGCUUUAUUACUAUGAUCAUUUGAUUAUAAAAUUAUUCUUGGUAGUUAUAUAAUUAUUCAUGGUUGUUAGAUUACCUUUAAUAGUUACUGUUGUUGGAAAUAUAAUCUAGAAGUCCUUUGUUGGCUAAUGAUUCUCUAACAUUUUUUUUAAUUUUAUGGUAGUUGUAUUUUGCUUUGACAAUUUAGUUUAGUUUUUUUUAUUAACUCUGAUUGUUUCCAGCAUCGACACAUGAAUUUUGAACUUGUUCUUGCAUAAUUUAUCAUGGGAGAAAAUGAAUUGGUGGUGUAGGUUUGGGAAACAGUGGAUCAAGACCCUAUGGAAAUUUGGGUUUUAUUCUGUGUUUAUUAUUUUCUUUGCUGCUAUUAUUCACGGAUAAACUUGUGGACUGGGAAUGCUUACCUCUUUAUGACAGGCACUGUAAAUGUCUGUGUCAGCCAUUUAAUUUUCUCUUUCUAGUCCGCACUCAGACAUUUCUUUCAGCAACCAGUCAUUUAAUCGGAAAGAGAGUUUUGUUUCCUUUCAUGUUCUUUGUUGUCAAAACAACCUUUGUUUCUUUCUUAUCAGCUAUAGUAUUUAAUUCACUGCGAUCUCAGGAUGUGUUAUUUGGAAGUGAUGUGGUUAUUCAUUCGAGGAUUGAUGUGUUAUUUGGAAGUGAGGUGGUUAUUCAUUCGAGGAUUGAGUUUCAUUCCCUUUGACUUGCAUUUUUUUGUGUUCAUAGCUAUCAAACAACUUUCUUCCUUUGAAAUGUAUGGAGUCUAUUUUUUUAAGAUGAAAUCCCCUCUAAAUGUUAAUGUUUUAUUUUUUUUCUUUCUUUUUCAUCAUUUCCUAGUUAUUUGUGUUUCUCAUAGGCUUGGUCUCAUCCCUUCGACUUGCAUUUGUUUGUGUUCAUUGCUAUUAAACAACAUUUUUUUUAAAUGUAUGGAGUCUUUUUUGUUACGUCUAGAGAUGUUGAUUUGCUUGUUUUCAUUCCGUUUUAGGUGUUGAUUUGUUUGCGUUCAUUCCUUUUUAGGUGUUGAUUUGUUUGUGUUCAUUCCUUUUUAGCAUUUGGAGGCCUCAAGAAUGGUUGAGGAUUAAAAUCUGGAAGUGUUUAGAACGACCAAUAAUUCAGGAUAACCUAAUUUCAUUAGUUUCCUUUCCAUUUGAUUUCUUGAGAUUUGAUCACGAAGAAUAAGGAUUGAAUUGUCAUUUGUUUUUAUGAUGUCUUUCUUUGUUUUGAAUGUCUUAUUGUCUCUAUACUUCAACUCUAUGAGCCGUUGUAGCCUUCCUGAAUUCUUGGGGUGUACAGUACAGGACAAACAUGCAACAGAUGUUACGUAGGACAGAUGUGAGUAUCCUUAAAGCUCUAGGUUUUGGUAUCCACACAUAUUUUUGUCUUUAAUUGGGACUGGCUAUUUGAAUUUCUCUGGUUUUUGAAUUCCUUCAAUUCAUCUUAUGCUUUCUUAACUUCUUGGUCUUUAUUACCAAUAUCUAUUUUUAUUUAAAUAUAGUUCUUAAAUUUUUUAUGUCUAGGUGUUGAUUCGUUUGUGUUCAUUUCUUUUUAGCAUGUAAGACUGGUUAAGGAUUAAAAUCUGCUAGUGUACACGAAAAACAAGCCACGGAUGUGAGGUAGGAUAUCUAAAUACUGGAAGGAGAUGCUUGAUUCUGUAGGUUAUCCAUAAUCUUUGAUGACAGAUGCUUACUUGAGUUUGGAUGUAGUUAUUUAUUUGAUGAAAGAGAUCUAUCAUAUGUAACUUUGUGUUAGUUCCUUUUCAGCAGGGGAUUCUGGUUGAGGAUUAAAAAACAUAAAUUUGAAUAUUGAUUUUGUUUGAUUAUUGAAAUAUGACAAAUCUAGCUGUUUGAUCUUUGAAUAUGUUGAUUCUUUUUAGCAAAUCAUAGGUUAGUAAUAAUAAAAUGCUCAGGGAAGAUGUCUCCCCUUUACUUGAAACAUUGUAGAUAGAGCAUAUUUUUCCAGACUGAUAUGCGAGGUAGGGUGUGGAAACACUUCCCAGGGGAUUUGUGAAGCUUUAGGUUGUUACCUGUUAGAUAUUAUUAGAUAUUAUUAGAUAUUAUUAGAUAUUAUUAGAUAUAAUUAGAUAUUAUUUGAUAUUAUGAGAUAUUAUAGAUAUUGUUAGAUAUCUCAUAUUUAUGUAAUGGGCUUAGCCCAUAUGUUUCUUUUCCUAUAUAAACAUAACCCUAUGUGUUCAAUAUACACAAGGGAUUUACCCUAUUCUUUCUUUUCCUUUAAUAUUACCCUUACCAUUCUUGUGUCUUUAUUUGUGACUGACUAAACUUCUUGUUUGGAUUCUAAGUUUUGGUUGGAUUCAUUGCUAACAUUGUAGUUUGACUGGCAGUCUGGCAGUUCUUGUGGGUUUAGAGGUCGUGUAAUACUCUCUUUUUUAAGUUGUCCAUUUCUAAGUAAUUUAGGCUUCUCUUAGCUUUUACCAGUCCUGGAUUCAUAGUGAAAUUUGACCCUUUUACAUGGUGCAAUUGAAAUUAAGGAGAGAAUUAUUGAUCUUUAGUUUUCUAGUACUGAAUUAAUUUUGGAUUUGUUUUGGUGUAGCAAAUCUGAAAGGUCAUUUUCUUAGUUAUUACUUCAUUUACUAAAUAAUCAAGAGCAUUGGACAAUUUGAUUUUGUAGUGUUUUGUUUGCUGCAUUGACAAAUGAAUCUUGCAUUCUAUUGUUUUUAGGAGUUUUAGAUUACAUCCUGAAUAUGACAUGAUGAUCUCUUCUAUCUUCCAAAAUGAGAAUGAUCUGCAACAUUAGAGUUGUAUUUAGUUCUAUGUCCAAUGUGAGAAUGAGAAAAUUAAGAGCUCUAUUUAGUUUUAUCUCCAAUUAUCUCUAAUAUGAGAAUGAGAAACAACAGUAGUUGGAAUGUUUUCUUGCAAUCUUCCUGUGCUAUGAUUUAGUUCUCUCUCCAUAUAUGAGAAUAAGAAAAUGAGAAAGAGAAACAAGAUUAUUUGGAAUGUUUUGUAGUAAUCUUCUUGCACUAUGAUUCGGUUCUCUCCCAAUAUGCGAAUGAGAAACAACAAUAUUUGGAAAGUUUUGUCGUAAUCUUCUUGUGCUAUGAUUCGGUUCUGUCCCCAAUAUGCGAAUGAGAAGAUGAGAAACAACAGCUUAUGAGAGCUCCAUUUGGUUCUAUCUCCAAUAUGAGAAUGAGAAACAACAGUACAUGAGAGUUCUAUUUAGUUUUAUCUCUAAUACGAUAAAGAAGAGAAACAAAAGCAUUUGGAUUGUUCUCUUUGUAAUCUUCGUGUGCUAUGAGCAACGCCUCCCCUCGAGGCUAUGGUUACGGGUGAUGCCUCUCUAUUCCAACAUGAGAGCUCUAUAUAUUUUUUUGGGGUGGGGUCUCAAUUUAUGAUACCAUGUGGAAGCAGACACCAUAUUUUUGCCGUCUAUAUUUCUCAGCUCUUGCUGAUUUUGCCAUGCUGAACUUAGUUUUCUUGAAUUGCCAUUCUUCUUAAAUUUUUACAGUAAAGCAAUAGAUAUGUGGGGGCAGGUUUUGGAAACAUUGUAUGGAGAUCUGGUGAAACUUUAGAUUUUAUUAUCUUUGCAUAUUCAUCAUUUUCUUUGAUGGCUAAACUUGUGGAUUGGGAGUUCUUGUAAACAGGCACUAUGUGAGUUUGAGAGGCUUUGGCAAUUGUGUUGUUAGGCCUUCGAUCCUGGUGAUUUGAUAAUCUGUUGCAGUGAAGACUUUAUGGAUGUCUGUUACCCAAAUUACGGUACAUUAUUGGACUUACAUUUCCAUUUCACUAUUUUUUUUAUAUCCUUGAUUUGGUUGUGGUAUCUCUUAUUGGUUGAAUAGUGGGAAGGCACAUGUGAAUCUUAUGAUGUAUUGCCUUUAAUAGUUUUUGCUGUUGGAAAAAUAAUCUAGAAGUCCUUUCUUAGCAAAUUAUUCUCAUUAUUGUAGAAAUUCUAUAACAUUUAUUCAGGUUUUACUUUCUACAAUUAGUUUAUUUUUAUCCACUCCGAUAACUAAUUAAAUAUUUACUUUCUCUAGAAAGUAGACUAUGUGAUUGAUAUAUUUUAAUGUUAUUCAUAAAUUAGUUCUUUAUAUUAAUCAUUACAAAAAUGUUUGGUAUACACUCAUAUUUAUCAUAUUGCCUUCAAGUAGAAAGGUAUUUGUAUAGGGCAAUUGCUUCCUCCCCCAAUCAAUUUUGACUAGCAUUCAAUAGAAGUUUUAAAACUUCAUUAUGCCUUUUUCACGGCUUACGAAUGCCAAUAUCCAAAAGUGACAUAUUUGCCUAUGGAUAUUGCCAUUUGGAAGUGAUAGUUUUGCCUACGGAUAUUAACAUUCGAAAGUGUCAGUUUUGCCUACGGAUAUUGACAUUUGGAAGUGUCAGUUUUGCCUACGGACAUUGGCAUCUGGAACUGGCACUCUUUGAUUGCGUUCAUUUUUAUCCGAAAGGCACUAUCAUUUUUCUUAAUAUACAUAUCAGGAAGCCAAUCAUCCUUAACUUUUUUUUUUGGCAGUGUAAUGAUUUUGUUACUUUUAAUGGAUUAAAACCACUAAACCGAACCAAUUUAAAGAAUAAAAGUAAAAUCAACAUUAAAAUUUGUUACUUGCUUUUUAUUAUAAAAUAUUUAUAUUAUCAUUUAUAUAUUUUCAAAUGCAUUAACCAUUGAUGACAUAUAGAACAUUGUUGAGAGUAGAAAAAAAGCACCCAAUAAACACAUUUUGGAUUUUCAAAAUGGGACCUGAUGAAAAAGACUUUCGUGGUGCAUAUGGAUGUUUAUAUUCAUAACUCAUAACACAAUUACGGACAAAAAUAUUCAGAACCCGUGAGAAGCGUGAAGCGACACGUCUCCUUUUCUGGUGUCUUUGCUUUCUGUCGUUGUUGAAGUGGCUCAAAAGCGUUGCUUGCGUGUGUGUAAGACUUUCGGAAGAGAAUGUCUACAAGAAACAAUGAAUGACCUUCUGCACUGUGCUUGAUUGUGGGGUGUAUGGAACCUAAUUUCACUCAUUAAGGGUGUCAUGGUAAUUUCAUAUAGAUCAUUAAGGGUGUUAUGGUAAUUUCAAACAGAAAAUUGGGUGUUAGUUAGAAUUGAUUGGGUGCAGGAGAGUCAGCUUUGUGUAGCAAUAAAAAGUCACAAAGAAAUCUAUUCAACUCUAAAAGGUUGUGAUAUUUAACACCACAAAGAGUAAAAAACAUUCACAAAUUAAUAAAAUAAUAUUUUAAUCAUAUUUAAUUUAUUUUUAUUUUUAAAUAUUAUUAUAUUAUUAUAAUGAGAUGUUAAGUAUACGUUUUUACAUGGUGUCAAAAAAUUAUUUUCCUAUUCUAAAAGAACUUAGACAAAUGUCUUAUUAUAAUAAAACUAAUAAUGUGGAAAAUAUUUUAAAAAACACUAAUAAAAGAAAUAAGUUUAUUUUUCAAAUUGAAGUCAAAUUAAGAUUAAAACAAUCUUAAAAUUUAAUUAUAUUGACUAAAAAGUUAAUAAAAACAAAACAAUAUUUACAAGAUAUUUUUAAAUAUCUUUAAAAUAAUAACUGCAAAUUUGUUUCCCCUGUUUUGUGUCAGCGGUUUGUUAUAAGAUAAGGAUGAAAAUCUUAAUUGCAUAUUUUCACCUCACCGCGUAAUAUAAGCUGUCAAUCUUGACCCUCCCUUUCUAUAUAUACCCGAAGAUCUUAUUGAGUUUAUCAUAUUGAGUUUUGUUGGUAUUGGUUCCGUGAUUGAGUUUUGUUAGUACUGAUUGGGGGUGAUUGUUGUGCUUCUUAUUAUCAAGUCUCCGUGGUUUCGUCGAAUUAUAUCAUGUUUGCUAUCAUCGAUGUGGUUUUGAUGUGGUUUUGUCGGAUUGAAGAAUGCAAGAAUCUUUUAUAGGAUUGAAGAACGCCAAUUCUGAAUAUGAUUCUUUAUGUGAUGAUGACAAGUUUUGAAUCUUUUGAUCAAAUUCCUUUAUCCCUUUUCUGCUGGUGACGGGGUCUUUGAGUAUUUUCUUCUACUUUCCUUUCUAUUAUUUGAUUUAUCUGGUAUUGAUCACGAAAAUAAGGAUUGGACUAUGAUUUGUUUAUCUGCAGUGGUGUAACACGUUUCUUAGUUAGUUUUCUUGAUUUUUGGGCUGUACAGGGAAGACACGCAAUGGAUGUGAAAUGAAGUAUUAUGUUUUCUUGACUUCUUAUGGGUUUAUUCGUGACUGAUUAUUGGAUUUCGUAGCCUAACUUGGUGUUUAUGUUCACUCCCCUUCAGCAAUUCGAGUUUCUGAGAUUUGAAACCCUAAAAAGUUUGAAACGGUUGCAGCUCAGGACAUCCCAAUUCUCUCUAUCUAUUGUUUAAUUUCUCUCUACUUUAUCUCCAAGGAUUGAAUUGUGUUCGACGUUUGAAUUAUUUUCCCUUAAUGUUAUGAGGCCCCAAGGGUUGAAUUGGUGUUUGAAUUAUUUUUUUCGCUUAAUGUCCUGCAGAGUAUGUUAUGAGACAUAAGGGCUGAAUUGUGAUUUGUUUCCUGUUUGGAUGAUUUGCAUAGCAUCUUAUAGAAUAUGAAUGGUUUGGUUUUCGCACGGUUCUCGCGAGUAUGUUAUAGCCACCAUUCUUCCUUGGUUUUUAAGUCUUCAAUUUAUCUUAUCGUUCUAUACUUCAUCCUCGAUUACCAGUUAUACUUUGUUGAAUUAUUGUUCUUUACAGGGAUGAGUGGGGAUAAGACAGGGAUGUGUGGGUAGGACGUUCCUCGUGGUUGGUUGAAAAUGGUGGAUGAGCCAUGCUCGACGGUAUGAAAAACACAACGACAAUGGGCUCGACAUAACCGAAGUCUUUUUUGAGUUUUCCUUCUAUUUUUCUUCAACAUAAGGAUAUGAUUUGUUUAUCUGCAGUGGUGUUUUGAACCUUUUGCGUAAAUUUCUUUGCUCCUUUUCAGUUGGUGGCCGAUUCUCUGGCGUUUCUUUAGCUUUUGGAUGAUUUGAAAACUAGAACGACCAAGAGCUAGGCAUAACCUAAGUCUUUGUUGAGUUUCCCUUCUUUAACUUUUUUUUCUGCUAUUGAUCACAGUACAUAAGGAUUGAACUAUGAUUUGUUUAUCUGCAGUGGUGUUUGGAUUAGUUGGGUAACGACACAUACUCAUCUUAUCAUGUUCCUAUAACUAGUAAAUUCAUUUACUGAAUUUUGAGUAUAAUUGUCUAUUUGAGUAUGACGAGUUUUAUACCUUUUGCGUAAAUUUCUUUUCAGCUGGUGGCUGGUUUUUUGGUAUUUCUUUUGCCUAUGGAUGAUAUGGAAAGCACAACGACCAAGGGCUCGACAUAACCUUAAGUCUUUUUUUAGUUUCCCUUCUAUUUUUGUUAUGGUAUUGCAUAAGGAUUGAACUAUGAUUUGUUUAUCUGCAGUGGUGUUUGGAUUAGUUGGGUAACGUCACAUAUUAAUCUUAUCAAGUUUCUAUAAUUAGUAAAUUCAUUUAUGUCUAUAUGAGAAUGACGAGUUUUGAACCUUCUGCGUAAAUUUCUUUGCACCUUUUCAGCUGGAGUUCUCUGUCAUUUCUUUCUCCUAUGGAUGAUAUGAAAAGCAGAAGGACCAAGGGGCUCGACAUAACCUAAGUCUUUUUUGACUUUUUUUUUCUAUUUUUCUUUUUCCUGGUAUUGAUGACAGUACAUAAGGAUUGAACUAUAAUUUGGUUAUCUGCAGUGGUGUUAGGAUUAGUUGGAUAACGACGCAUAUUCAUCUUACAAGUUGCUAUAACUAGUAAAUUCAUUUAUGUGAAUUUUGAGUAUAAUUCUCUAUUUGAGUUUGACAAGUUUUAAACCUUUUGCGUAAAUUUAGUUUCAGCUGGUGGCUGGUUUUUUUGCCUUUCUGUUGCCUAUGGAUGAUAUGAAAAGCACAAUGACCAACGGGCUCGUCAUAACCUAAGUCUUUUUUGAGUUUUCCUUCUUUUUUUCUUUUUCCUGGUAUUGUUCACAGUACAUAAGGAUUAAACUAUGGUUUUGUUUAUCUGCAGUGGUAUUUGGAUUAGAUGGGUAACAACGCAUAUUCAUCGUAUCAAGUUUCUAUAACUAGUAAAUUCAUUUACGUCAAUUUUGACUAUAGUUCUCUAUUUGAGUUGACACUAUAGUUCUUUAUUUGAGUAUGACGAGGAAAAUUACUUAAAUUUCUUUUCAGCUGAUCAAGGGCUCAACAUAACCUUAAAUCUUUUUUGACUUUCCCUUUUAUUAUUUUUUUUAGGUAUUACAUAAGGAUUGAACUAUGAUUUGUUUAUCUGCAGUGGUGUUAUGAUUAGUUGGGUAACUUCACAGAUUCAUCUUAUCAAGUUUCUAUAAUUCAUUUAGGUGAAUUCUGAGUAUAAUUCACUAUUUGAGGAUGAUGAGUUUUGAACAUUUUGUGUAAAUUUCUUUGCAUAUUUUCAGUUAUUGGCUGGUUCUCUGGCAUUUCUUUUGCCUAUGAAUGAUAUGAGAAGCACAACGACCAAGGGGCUCAACAUAACCUAAGUCUUUUUUGAGUUUUCCUUAUAUUUUUCUUUUUACUAGUAAUAAUAACAGUACAUAAAGAUUGAACUAUGAUUUGUUUAUCUGCAGUGGUGUUUGGACUAGUUGGGUAACGACGCAGAUUCAUUUUAUCAAGUUUCUAUAACUAGUAAAUUCAUUUACGUGAAUUUUGAGUAAAAUUCUCUAUUUGAGUAUGACGAGGUUUAAACCUUAUGCGUAAAUUUCUUUUCAGCUGGUGGCUGGUUUUUUGGCAUUUCUUUUGCCUAUGGAUGAUAUGCAAAGCACAACGACCAAGGGCUCGAUAUAACCUUAAGUCUUUUUUGAGUUUCCCUUAUAUUAUUCGUUAAUGGUUUUACAUAAGGAUUGAACUAUGAUUUGUUUAUCUGCAGUGGUGUUUUGGAUUAGUUGGGUAACGUCGCAUAUUCCUCUUAUCAAGUUUCUAUAGUUAGUAAAUUCAUUUAUGUCUAUAUGAGGAUGACAAGUUUUGAACCUUCUGCGUAAAUUUCUUUGCACCUUUUCAGCUGGCGUUCUCUAGCAUUUCUUUCUCCUAUGGAUGAUAUGAAAAGCAGAAGGACCAAGGGGCUCAACAUAACCUAAGUCUUUUUUGAGUUUUUUUUUCUAUUUUUCUUUUUCCUGGUAUUGAUGACAGAACAUAAGGAUUGAACUAUGAUUUGUUUAUCUGCAGUGGUGUUUGGAUUAGUUGGAUAACGACGCAUAUUCAUCUUACAAGUUUCUAUAACUAGUAAAUUCAUUUACGUGAAUUUUGAGUAUAAUUCUCCAUUUGAGUGUGACGAGUUUUAAACCCUUUUUGUAAAUUUACUUUCAGCUGGUGCCUGGUUUUUUGGCCUUUCUGUUGCCUAUGGAUGAUAUGAAAAGCACAACAACCAAGGGCUCGACAAAACCUUAAGUCUUUUUUGAGUUUCCUUCUAUUUUUUUAUGGUACUACAUAAGAAUUGAACUAUAAUUUGUUUAUCUGCAGUGGUGUUUGGAUUUGUAUAACGUCACAUAUUCAUCUUAUCAAGUUUCUAUAAUUAGUAAAUUCAUUUAGGUCUAUAUGAGGAUGACGAGUUUUGAACCUUUUGCGUUAAUUUCUUUGCACCUUUUCAGCUGGAGUUGAGUUGUGAACUUGUUUGGAAGUUUUGCAUGUAAUCUCCUUUGAGCCUAGACUGCAAUGUCUCUUAUGCUGAAAUCUUUGAAAUCAGAAUAAUGAACCGGAGUGACAACAAUGCUCUAACGCUGAAAUUUUUGAAAUCAGUAUAAUAAUGAUCCUGAAAUUGUUUAAAUGCUUCACUUUUGUUUCAACAAUCUCCAUUUAUGUUUCUCAUUCUUCGAGUUUUGAAAUCAGCAUUUAUUUGUUUGCAGCACAUUUUGUCUUUAUUUGAGGUUUCUCUUUCAGAUUGUUAACUCAACCAGUGAUGGAAUAUAGUGGGACGGCUAACAUGUCUUAUCAACAAGUUUGAGUGUUUAUCCAAAACCAUUCCAUUCAUUUCUUUUUCAUAUUUGUACAAUUUGGAAAAGGAUUGUAUCCGAGAAAGAUAAUGGAGUUUUGGAGGUGAAUUUGUUAAUUUUAAUCAGAUUGACGAACGUCUCUUGGACAGGAUUUCGUCUCUAUUUGAUAUUUUCAGAUUUGAUCACCAAACAUAUGGAUUUUCUGUUGUCAUUUGUUUUUGUGCAGUGAUAUUUGCAUAAUGUUUCAUGCUACGUCUAAUCAAUCAUGUUGUUUGGAAGUUUGUAUGACUCUUGAUAACAGGCUUUACAAGAGUUUGGGAGGAUUAGUAAUUUCAGAGGUGAUACCUAUUAUCAUAUUUGUGUCUUGUAGUGUGAACUGUUCAAGUUUAUUCAUUUGCAAGAGGGAUCAAUUCUCCACUUUUGAUGCAGAAGAUUAGAUGGCUAACAUUAUUGUCCGUUCAUUUGAUCCAGCAAGAGCCCAUUCUAGAAAUGUGGUCUUCUCUUUAAAGGCCUUUAGUAUUUUACUAUCAUAAAUAGAUAUUAUUUCUGGUUCUAUUGUUUUGACUGAGAGGAAGUCACAAGUCUUGUUGAUAUAUGAUGAUCUCUUAUCAUUUCCCCUUAAUUCUUGGUUGUUGUUUUGACAGGGUAGGGUUUGGGGAGUCUGGGUUUUUGGAUUAGGAAUUGUCCAACCACCAACAAUGUGUGUACAAGUUUGAAAUAUAUGAAUGAAGGCUGUCAAGGAAAAUGAUUACAGCAAUGAAGGCUAAAAAAAAAAUUGCGGAAGCAGAGUCUCCUAGAUCAGGAUAUAUAUAUGCUAGAGUGGAAAGAAAUAGAUGAAAUAUAUUUCUGAGAUAUCUUACAAAUGUGAUUACAGUCUCUAUUUAUAGACUGUUUUACAACCUAAUUAAAGAAAGAAAUAAUAGGUGAUGAAAGCCAGAAAUAAAUAAUGAGUGUUUAAAGCUGUACAAAUCAAAUAAAAUAAAAUCACUAACAAAUCUGUACUAAUAAAUAUAAAAUGGAAUCUGCACUUAAUUAUAACAUAAUUCUCCUGAUUAUGCAACAGU